UGGAGAAGGGGAGCACGUGCAAACUCACUGGACACGAGGGUCUUUGCACGUGCCCUGCUUCUCCAAC
Molecule: non-coding RNA, 67 nt
Organism: Nelumbo nucifera (sacred lotus)
Lineage: Eukaryota; Viridiplantae; Streptophyta; Magnoliopsida; Proteales; Nelumbonaceae
Source: Rfam